RNAcentral lists this ribosomal RNA (497 nucleotides) under uncultured bacterium. Its description in RNAcentral is "partial 16S ribosomal RNA". It matches the Rfam family "Bacterial small subunit ribosomal RNA", at positions 28 to 507 of the family's 1533-position model. The record is from RNAcentral.
GAUGAACGCUGGCGGCGUGCCUAAUACAUGCAAGUCGAGCGAACAGACGAGGAGCUUGCUCCUCUGACGUUAGCGGCGGACGGGUGAGUAACACGUGGAUAACCUACCUAUAAGACUGGGAUAACUUCGGGAAACCGGAGCUAAUACCGGAUAAUAUAUUGGACCGCAUGGUUCAAUAGUGAAAGACGGUUUUGCUGUCACUUAUAGAUGGAUCCGCGCCGCAUUAGCUAGUUGGUAAGGUAACGGCUUACCAAGGCAACGAUGCGUAGCCGACCUGAGAGGGUGAUCGGCCACACUGGAACUGAGACACGGUCCAGACUCCUACGGGAGGCAGCAGUGGGGAAUCUUCCGCAAUGGGCGAAAGCCUGACGGAGCAACGCCGCGUGAGUGAUGAAGGUCUUCGGAUCGUAAAACUCUGUUAUUAGGGAAGAACAAAUGUGUAAGUAACUAUGCACGUCUUGACGGUACCUAAUCAGAAAGCCACGGCUAACUACGUG